UGAACUUGCCUCUUCUGCUCUCCCUUG
RNAcentral lists this non-coding RNA (27 nucleotides) under Mus musculus (house mouse). The record is from RNAcentral. Lineage: Eukaryota; Metazoa; Chordata; Mammalia; Rodentia; Muridae.